This 405-nucleotide ribosomal RNA is filed under the name uncultured bacterium. Its description in RNAcentral is "bacterial SSU rRNA". It matches the Rfam family "Bacterial small subunit ribosomal RNA", at positions 28 to 416 of the family's 1533-position model. The record is from RNAcentral.
GAUGAACGCUGGCGGCGUGCCUAACACAUGCAAGUCGAGCGGUAUAUAGUGGAAUGAAACUUCGGUCGAGUGAAGCUAUAGAGAGCGGCGGACGGGUGAGUAACGCGUAGGCAACCUGCCCCAUACAGAGGGAUAGCCUCGGGAAACCGGGAUUAAAACCUCAUAACGCGAGGAGUUCACAUGGACUUCUCGCCAAAGAUUCAUCGGUAUGGGAUGGGCCUGCGUCUGAUUAGCUAGUUGGUGAGGUAACGGCUCACCAAGGCGACGAUCAGUAGCCGACCUGAGAGGGUAAUCGGCCACAUUGGAACUGAGACACGGUCCAGACUCCUACGGGAGGCAGCAGUGGGGAAUAUUGCACAAUGGGCGAAAGCCUGAUGCAGCGACGCCGCGUGAGCGAUGAAGGCC